UCGAGAAUCAUUCACAAUGGGGGAAACCCUGAUGGUGCAACGCCGCGUGGAGGAUGAAGGUCUUCGGAUUGUAAACUCCUGUCAUCCGGGAGUAAGACCUGACGGUGAACAGCCGGCAGGGUUGAUAGUACCGGAAGAGGAAGGGACGGCUAACUUCGUGCCAGCAGCCGCGGUAAUACGAAGGUCCCAAGCGUUGUUCGGAAUCACUGGGCGUAAAGGGUGCGUAGGCGGUCUCGUAAGUCGGGCGUGAAAUCCCGGGGCUCAACCCCGGAACUGCGCUCGAUACUGCAAGACUUGAGGAUCGGAGAGGAGACUGGAAUUCUCGGUGUAGCAGUGAAAUGCGUAGAUAUCGAGAGGAACACUCGUGGCGAAGGCGAGUCUCUGGACGAUUCCUGACGCUGAGGCACGAAGGCCAGGGUAGCGAAAGGG
RNAcentral lists this ribosomal RNA (429 nucleotides) under uncultured bacterium. Its description in RNAcentral is "bacterial SSU rRNA". It matches the Rfam family "Bacterial small subunit ribosomal RNA", at positions 355 to 776 of the family's 1533-position model. The record is from RNAcentral.